Molecule: ribosomal RNA, 622 nt
Filed under: uncultured bacterium
Lineage: Bacteria
Description: bacterial SSU rRNA
Rfam family: Bacterial small subunit ribosomal RNA (bases 1-523)
Source: RNAcentral
CCUACGGGAGGCAGCAGUGGGGAAUAUUGGACAAUGGGCGAAAGCCUGAUCCAGCAAUGCCGCGUGAGUGAUGAAGGCCUUAGGGUUGUAAAGCUCUUUUACCCGGGAUGAUAAUGACAGUACCGGGAGAAUAAGCUCCGGCUAACUCCGUGCCAGCAGCCGCGGUAAUACGGAGGGAGCUAGCGUUGUUCGGAAUUACUGGGCGUAAAGCGCACGUAGGCGGCUUUGUAAGUUAGAGGUGAAAGCCUGGAGCUCAACUCCAGAAUUGCCUUUAAGACUGCAUCGCUUGAAUCCAGGAGAGGUGAGUGGAAUUCCGAGUGUAGAGGUGAAAUUCGUAGAUAUUCGGAAGAACACCAGUGGCGAAGGCGGCUCACUGGACUGGUAUUGACGCUGAGGUGCGAAAGCGUGGGGAGCAAACAGGAUUAGAUACCCGUGGUAGUCCACGCCGUAAACGAUGAUAACUAGCUGUCAGGGCUCUUAAGAGUCUUUGGUGGCGCNGACUACGACAUUAAGUUAGUCCGUCCGUCGGGUAGGUACGGUCGGCGAAGAAGUUAAACGUUAAAGUUAGUUAAGUUAGUACGGACGUUGAGACGUUGCCGACGGACGACGACGAGGGAGGAGG